CUUUGUACUGAUGUCCUUGUAGAAGGUGGGACAUCUCUCCAGAUGAGCAGCGGAGGACAGGAGUCUUCAAAGGUCUGGGCAGGUUCUCUUCUAGGCCUCUGACACUCAAAGACAAAGAAAGCAUCAAAACCAGAUGUGUUUCCCUGCCCAUGGCAAACCCUCACCUUUCCCUUCCUCACAGUCCUUCCUGCCAUCACAUUGCAGCGUUGAAACAACAUCACAUUCACCUUUGCCUAAUCUGGCAGAAGGGUGCAGCUCUUUCGAUUAUCUCCCUUAAGCUUUCAAGUCACCAGUGCCUGUGUGACACAGGGAACUGUCAACAUUGCACCUGCUGUGCCAUGCUCAUGGCUGCACAGAGGCAGUUGCCAGCAGCUGAUGCCCACAAGUACAGCCAGCCUGGACUUAUUUGAUUACAUAUCUUUGUGCUGAUGUCCUUGCAGAAGGUGGGACAUCUCUCCAUCUGAGCUGCAGAGGACAGGAGGGUUCCAAGAUCUGGGUACGUUCUUUUCUAGGCCUCUGGCUCUCAAAGACAAAACAAGAGGAGACACAAUCUGUAGCAUUACAGCCUCCCCUGGCUCCAUGCCCAGCUCCCAGCCCUUCCUUUCCAAAACAUCUGUCCCACUCUCUCACUUUUGUCACUGCGCAAUAUUUUGCUCUUUUCUAGGCGGGGCUGGGAGAGGGGUGCAGCCUUUUCUACUAUCUCCCUAUGGCAGCCAUGUCACCAGUGCUUGUGUGACAUAGACAAUUUUCUGUGUUCUGCCUGAUGUGGCAGGCCCAUGUCAUCACCCAGGCAGUUGCCAGCAGCUGAUGCCCACAAGUACAGCCAGCCUGGACUUAUUUUGAUUACAUAUCUCUGUAUCGGUGUCCUUGAGGAAGGUGGAACAUCUCUCCAGCUGAGCAGCAGAGGACAGGAGGGUUUCAUGGUCCGGGCAUGUUCUCAUCUGUCCCUCUGGCCCUCAAAGACAAAGGAGGACAACACGCAGUCUGUUGUAACACAGCCUGCCCUGCCUCUCAGAUCAGAAUAUGACAAUAAUAGAAUUGGCAAGACCCAAACCAUGGAAUUUAAGAAUAAGAAAUUCUGCAGUUCAGAACUAGCAUAUAUGAGCAAUGUCUUCUAUGUUUCACAUCCUUUUUCAGACGAGGUCAUUCCUCUCUGCCUGCAAUCCUCCAUGUACCUUUUCCUGUCCAGCAAAACUUUCUGGUAUACCAGGAAAGUAAAGGUCACAGUUUUCAGACUGUAAACCCAUGACACGUGGUUGAAGUUGGAUGGAUUCAGUAAAUUAAUGCAGUAAAUCAUUUUGAUAUGUCAAUGACCAAAACGCAAAACAGCAAAAGGAGUUCUUCUGUGGCUGCAAAUUGCUUUCUUCAGCCUGGUACUGAUAUGACAGGGAGCCACUCUACCACUGGAUUCUACAAAUACGUCAGGAGGCUAUAUACUGCUUGAUGUGUCAUGCUGUCCCCUGUACUCCCUGGAAGACCACUAUGAGGUAUACAUGUGCAACCACAAAAGUGACUGAGAAAACUCUACUCCUGUACAUUUCAUUAUAACCAGCAGGUCACUUCAACUGAUCCCCCUUCCACAAAUCCUUUGUCUAGUACUCUAAAUUUGAUGGACAUCAUGGGGCUAAAUGAUUGAAGACUUUAGAACAAGUCUAAGUUCAUUAAAAUUCCAGAGUCUUCUACUGCACGGUGAGCAUCUCAGUCAGACUUACAUGAUCAAGAAUGCUGUACUUUUUACUGUUCCAUAGGUCAAACUUCCCUCCAUUCAUUGUCAAUGAAUUGGAGUAAUGGCUGUGUUCUAUGCAUCUAUCCAAUCUUUUCUUGUCCUGAAGUGUAAAUUCAUAAGAAGAUAUAUACCAAAAUUAGAGAAGACAGUGGAGAAAAAUGAGAUGUCAGCUUCUCGUAUAUAUUAUUUAAUAGUAGCCACCAGUUGCUGCCAUUAAUUUUACAAGUGAUUUUUUUUUAGCAACUCUUUGACAUAAAGGGGAAAAACUGCAUUGUUACCUUAGAAAUUUUUCAAUUUUUUUUUCUUUUGAUAGCUAUUUUUUUUUAAUACAAUAUGUCAAAUAAUGUGGUCUGAAUCUUUGGGAAAUAGAGAUAAUUUCAGAUUCUGUUAUAUAAUUUUAUAAAUCCUGUAAUACUUUAACAUUUGUUCAAACUUCUGAAACUACAGUGCCUCUGUUUCUGCAGGAAGUAUUAAUUAUUGGCUGCUGUUUUUCCCAGAGCCAAAUGGUGUGAUUU
RNAcentral lists this long non-coding RNA (2241 nucleotides) under Phasianus colchicus (ring-necked pheasant). RNAcentral's name for it is "lncRNA (ENSPCLG00000020336.1)". Lineage: Eukaryota; Metazoa; Chordata; Aves; Galliformes; Phasianidae. The record is from RNAcentral.